This 71-nucleotide transfer RNA is filed under the name Schistocephalus solidus. It matches the Rfam family "tRNA". From Rfam's summary of the family: Transfer RNA (tRNA) molecules are approximately 80 nucleotides in length. Their secondary structure includes four short double-helical elements and three loops (D, anti-codon, and T loops). Further hydrogen bonds mediate the characteristic L-shaped molecular structure. tRNAs have two regions of fundamental functional importance: the anti-codon, which is responsible for specific mRNA codon recognition, and the 3' end, to which the tRNAs corresponding amino acid is attached (by aminoacyl-tRNA synthetases). tRNAs cope with the degeneracy of the genetic code in two manners: having more than one tRNA (with a specific anti-codon) for a particular amino acid; and 'wobble' base-pairing, i.e. permitting non-standard base-pairing at the 3rd anti-codon position. The record is from Rfam by way of RNAcentral. Lineage: Eukaryota; Metazoa; Platyhelminthes; Cestoda; Diphyllobothriidea; Diphyllobothriidae.
GAGCCCGUGGCUCAAUGGUAGAGCGUUCGACUCAAAUACCAAAGGUCAUGGGUUCGAAUCCCAGGAGUUCC